Molecule: long non-coding RNA, 443 nt
Organism: Saccostrea cuccullata (small rock oyster)
Lineage: Eukaryota; Metazoa; Mollusca; Bivalvia; Ostreida; Ostreidae
Exons: 3
Source: RefSeq, a predicted model, not a curated record
UCGGGUUCGGCGGUCAUGGCGAAUUUCGGCAAAGAUUUUACCCCAGUGAAAAAGGCUUGUAAUCCACCGUUCCUCAACCUGGAAGAUAUGUUUUGUUCCUAACCAUCUAUAUUCCAUUCUCUAAGUGAAGUGAAGCCUGGGUGCUGGUCUUCCUUUGGGGAAAUACACAGGGAAAGAAGAAAAACUACUUGAGUGUUUCUACUGCCUCCCCCCAGAGAUCUGCUUAUGAGUGCAUGAGAUUACAGAGAACAUUCAUCUCCGGUUUAAAACAGAGUAUGACAGAUAAAAAGGUAUUUUUUUCUUCUUUAUUUUUUACAUCACAUGAAAACAUACAAUUAAUGAUGAUGAUGAAGAAUGUACACAUGUUUUUCAUAAGUGUGUACAAAUUGUUCAAUAUAAUGUCUAUUAUGAAUCCAAUUUCCUUGGGCUAGUCCACAGGCAAU